Molecule: ribosomal RNA, 253 nt
Filed under: uncultured bacterium
Lineage: Bacteria
Description: partial 16S ribosomal RNA
Rfam family: Bacterial small subunit ribosomal RNA
Source: RNAcentral
UACGUAGGCAGCAAGCGUUGUUCGGAAUUACUGGGCGUAAAGGGUGCGUAGGUGGGUUGGUAAGUCAGUGGUGAAAUCCCCGAGCUUAACUUGGGAACUGCCAUUGAUACUAUCAGUCUUGAAUACCGUGGAGGUCAGCGGAAUAUGUCAUGUAGCGGUGAAAUGCUUAGAUAUGACAUAGAACACCAAUUGCGAAGGCAGCUGGCUACUCGGAUAUUGACACUGAGGCACGAAAGCGUGGGGAUCAAACAGG